AAAAAAAAACAUGAUAUAUAGGCAGCUAACUGUGCAAGCAAAUUUCAAGGAUGUUUCCUUGAAAUUUCAUGACUCCUUCCAUUCAAUUUCUGUCCUUCUCCUCUUCUUCCAUUGAAUUUCUCUCCUGACUUUGGUGACUCUCUCUCUCUCUCUCUCUCUCUGAUCUCUAUCUGCAUCUAGGCUACUGCUAACUGAAUUCUAGUUUCAAAACACAAACCAUAGCUGCUGUGCUGCAGAUUAAUUUUAACUAUUCGAUCUGGACUCAUAAAGGUUUUUGGCUUCUUCAUUGCUGAUUAGCUACCGCUAAGUUAAAUCCUUCCAGUUUCUAAAGACAAAUUAUGGCUGUUGCGCUGCGGGCCGGUAUAGAUCUAUUCUGGACUCUUAAAGACAAAAUGGAGCAGAUACUAUCGUUAGGUAAUAAAUUUGCAGGAUAUAUGGGUUUUGAUGAAAAUCUGGAAACUCUAAAAGCUGAAGUAGAUCAACUUCACAUGGAAGCGAAUGACAU
Long non-coding RNA from Ipomoea nil (Japanese morning glory), 505 nucleotides. RefSeq lists it as uncharacterized. The record is from RefSeq and is a predicted model, not a curated record. The transcript is spliced from 4 exons. Lineage: Eukaryota; Viridiplantae; Streptophyta; Magnoliopsida; Solanales; Convolvulaceae.